Homo sapiens (human) is the source of this 254-nucleotide long non-coding RNA. Ensembl annotates it as XPC antisense RNA 1. Its record names the gene XPC-AS1. Lineage: Eukaryota; Metazoa; Chordata; Mammalia; Primates; Hominidae. The record is from Ensembl.
CCCAGCAGAUGACCUGUACUUCUCUGCUCUCUCCCCUACUGCAAAGAGGCAGUGAGGGCAGCAUUAGUAAGCCUGACUCAGGGGAAGCCCUGCGCACCUCACCUUUGCUGUUGCUGACUUCAGAGGAAUUGGCUGUAGAGACAAUACCAGCCGGGUCAAGAGCUGCAGAGCCCGGAGAAUCAGUAAGAAUAUCUAUGAUGAAAAGGAAGAACAUAGUUAUCCUAAGAAAGUAAUUAAAGAUGUAAUGAGUUCAA